RNAcentral lists this ribosomal RNA (244 nucleotides) under uncultured bacterium. Its description in RNAcentral is "partial 16S ribosomal RNA". It matches the Rfam family "Bacterial small subunit ribosomal RNA", at positions 90 to 334 of the family's 1533-position model. The record is from RNAcentral.
CCGGACCGGCGCGACGGUGAGUACGCGUAUGUAACUUACCUAUCAGGAGGGGACGUACCGGCGAAAGUCGGACUAAUACCGCAUGAAGCAGGGGUCCCGCAUGGGGAUAUUUGCUAAAGAUUCAUCGCUGAUAGAUAGGCAUGCGUUCCAUUAGGCAGUUGGCGGGGUAACGGCCCACCAAACCGACGAUGGAUAGGGGUUCUGAGAGGAAGGUCCCCCACAUUGGUACUGAGACACGGACCAA